AGAACGAACGCUGGCGGCAUGCCUAACACAUGCAAGUCGAACGAGACCUUCGGGUCUAGUGGCGCACGGGUGCGUAACGCGUGGGAAUCUGCCCUUCGGUUCGGAAUAACUCAGGGAAACUUGAGCUAAUACCGGAUAAUGACUUCGGUCCAAAGAUUCAUCGCCGAGGGAUGAGCCCGCGUAGGAUUAGCUUGUUGGUGAGGUAAAGGCUCACCAAGGCGACGAUCCUUAGCUGGUCUGAGAGGAUGAUCAGCCACACUGGGACUGAGACGCGGCCAGACUCCUACGGGAGGCAGCAGUGGGGAAUAUUGGACAAUGGGCGAAAGCCUGAUCCAGCAAUGCCGCGUGAGUGAUGAAGG
RNAcentral lists this ribosomal RNA (359 nucleotides) under uncultured soil bacterium. Its description in RNAcentral is "bacterial SSU rRNA". It matches the Rfam family "Bacterial small subunit ribosomal RNA", at positions 26 to 414 of the family's 1533-position model. The record is from RNAcentral.